GCUUCCUCUGCUUCAUAUCUGUAAGCAAUGGGAACCUAUCAUUAGGAAUACUUUAACAUUGUAAAUAUACUAGACAGGCAUCAGACUGCCCAGAGACUAACAGUGCAGUAUCUAGUAAUUUUUCAUGGAUUCAAAUUUUUUUUUUCCAGACUGAGACUGCUCCUUGGCAUGGAUUAGAGGCCACUGUAAAGAGCCCUUUUGAACUCCAGCUUCCUGCACUAAUCCUUUCCAAGAAUUACCCAAACCUUUCAAGGUAUCUCAUUGGAGCAUCCCUCUGGAAAAGAAGCUCUGGAAAUCAGAAGUGAUUGAGUGGAUGAGCUGCAACUGUAUUGCUUCUAGGCCCAGU
Molecule: long non-coding RNA, 346 nt
Organism: Parus major (Great Tit)
Lineage: Eukaryota; Metazoa; Chordata; Aves; Passeriformes; Paridae
Exons: 3
Source: RefSeq, a predicted model, not a curated record